GAUGAACGCUGGCGGCGUGCCUAAUACAUGCAAGUCGAGCGAACAGAUAAGGAGCUUGCUCCUUUGACGUUAGCGGCGGACGGGUGAGUAACACGUGGGUAACCUACCUAUAAGACUGGAAUAACUCCGGGAAACCGGGGCUAAUGCCGGAUAACAUUUAGAACCGCAUGGUUCUAAAGUGAAAGAUGGUUUUGCUAUCACUUAUAGAUGGACCCGCGCCGUAUUAGCUAGUUGGUAAGGUAACGGCUUACCAAGGCAACGAUACGUAGCCGACCUGAGAGGGUGAUCGGCCACACUGGAACUGAGACACGGUCCAGACUCCGACGGGAGGCAGCAGUAGGGAAUCUUCCGCAAUGGGCGAAAGCCUGACGGAGCAACGCCGCGUGAGUGAUGAAGGGCUUCGGAUCGUAAAACUCUGUUAUUAGGGAAGAACAAAUGUGUAAGUAACUGUGCACAUCUUGACGGUACCGAAUCAGAAAGCCACGGCGAACUACGU
Molecule: ribosomal RNA, 496 nt
Filed under: uncultured bacterium
Lineage: Bacteria
Description: partial 16S ribosomal RNA
Rfam family: Bacterial small subunit ribosomal RNA
Source: RNAcentral